AAAAUAUGAGCAUAUUGCCUCCAGUUGAUGCAGUCGAUGGUUUUCCUCCCAGUGCCAUCGUAUCAGCUGUUCCCCUCUGGAGGUUAUUGACCUUCACACCUUAAAGGGCCCUGGUUUUCCAG
RNAcentral lists this small RNA (122 nucleotides) under Rhizobium phaseoli. RNAcentral's name for it is "miscellaneous other RNA". The stretch from base 23 to 122 matches the Rfam family "Alphaproteobacterial ar15", at positions 1 to 100 of the family's 112-position model. Lineage: Bacteria; Pseudomonadati; Pseudomonadota; Alphaproteobacteria; Hyphomicrobiales; Rhizobiaceae. RNAcentral also lists the same sequence under 13 other names. The record is from RNAcentral.